This 484-nucleotide ribosomal RNA is filed under the name uncultured bacterium. RNAcentral describes it as "partial 16S ribosomal RNA". It matches the Rfam family "Bacterial small subunit ribosomal RNA", at positions 30 to 507 of the family's 1533-position model. The record is from RNAcentral.
AUUGAACGCUGGCGGCAGGCCUAACACAUGCAAGUCGAGCGGAUGAAGGGAGCUUGCGCCUGGAUUCAGCGGCGGACGGGUGAGUAAUGCCUAGGAAUCUGCCGGGCAGGGGGGGAUAACGUCCGGAAACGGGCGCUAAUACCGCAUGCGUCCUGAGGGAGAAAGAGGGGGGUCUUCGGACCUCACGCGAUCAGAUGAGCGUAGGUCGGGUUAGCUAGUUGGUGGGGUAAAGGCCUACCAAGGCGACGAUCCGUAACUGGACUGAGAGGAGGAUCAGUCACACGGGAACUGAGACACGGUCCAUACUCCUACGGGAGGCAGCAGUGGGGAAUAUUGGACAAUGGUCGAAAGCCUGAUCCAGCCAUGCCGCGUGUGUUAAGAAGGUCUUCGGAUUGUAAAGCACUUUAAGUUGGGAGGAAGGGCAGUAAGUUAAUACCUUGCUGUGUUGACGUUACCAACAGAAUAAGCACCGGCUAACUUCGUG